Molecule: transfer RNA, 86 nt
Filed under: Podarcis lilfordi (Lilford's wall lizard)
Lineage: Eukaryota; Metazoa; Chordata; Lepidosauria; Squamata; Lacertidae
Description: tRNA.Ile
Source: RNAcentral
GCAUGCAUAGCUCAGUUGGUUAAGAGCAUGGUGCUGAUAAUACCAGGGUUGCAGGUUCGAUCCUCUGAUGGGACAGCUGCAUUGCA